UGUAUUGUACGUGUUUGAUUUUAAUUUUUUUCUCAAACAAUUCAAUACCACCUAAUUGGAACGAGACCCAUGACAUUUAAAUUUUUAGCAAUAUAAUAUUUGAAUGUCAACUAAUUGGAUUACCUGUGAAUCAAAAACCUAGUUAUCAGAAAAGGAUUAUUAAGUUGCUACCAAUUAUGUCGGUUCUAAGACCGGAUACCAAGUUUUCAAGAAAAAAAAAGUUGCUACCAAUUCUACCGAUAAGAACCAAAGAAAUAAGUUGACCAAAUUGAAAUGUAAAACACUUAAGAAUUUAAAU
Molecule: long non-coding RNA, 298 nt
Filed under: Trifolium pratense (red clover)
Lineage: Eukaryota; Viridiplantae; Streptophyta; Magnoliopsida; Fabales; Fabaceae
Description: long non-coding RNA (TPRA_LNC010461)
Source: RNAcentral